This 400-nucleotide ribosomal RNA is filed under the name phytoplankton environmental sample. Its description in RNAcentral is "partial small subunit ribosomal RNA". It matches the Rfam family "Eukaryotic small subunit ribosomal RNA", at positions 587 to 994 of the family's 1831-position model. The record is from RNAcentral.
AGCUCCAAUAGCGUAUAUUAAUGUUGUUGCAGUUAAAAAGCUCGUAGUUGGAUUUGUGGUUGGGUUGUCCGGUCCGACUUCGGUCGGUACUUGGCCGACUCGCCAUCCUUGGGUGGAACCUGUGUGGCAUUAGGUUGUCGUGCAGGGGAGGCCCAUCGUUUACUGUGAAGAAAAUGGAUCGUUCCAAGAAGGCUUAUGCCGUUGAACAUAUUAGCAUGGGAUAAUAACAUAGGACUUUGGUACUAUUUUGUUGGUUUGUGCACCGAAGUAAUGAUCAAUAGGAACAGUUGGGGCUAUUCGUAUUCCAUUGUCAGAGGUGAAAUUCUUGGAUUUUUGGAAGACGAACUACUGCGAAAGCAUUUAGCAAGGAUGUUUUCAUUAAUCAAGAACGAAAGUACGC